Long non-coding RNA from Lolium rigidum, 3382 nucleotides. RefSeq lists it as uncharacterized. NCBI's taxonomy places the organism in Eukaryota, Viridiplantae, Streptophyta, Magnoliopsida, Poales, Poaceae. The record is from RefSeq and is a predicted model, not a curated record. The transcript has 5 exons.
UCUCGUUGGUCUGCUGACUGGUUACGUUCUUGUUGACACGAUGUGAUGCUUCUCAUAAACCAAUUUGUCUUCCUAUAGUGGAUCGGCAACAGCUGAAUUGGAUUUGGGACUGGAAGGCCAAGGAGGACGAGAAGGAAUGCGCCGCCGAAAAGAAAUAUAUGUCACCGUUGAUGAUAAGCAGGAGGCCAAAAGAAAGAUAAACAUGCAGACUCGCCGAAUAAGAACAAUAAGCAGCGCCGCAGAGGUGUGGGAUGCUACUGUCGCUCAUCCGAAGCUGCUUUUGUAUCUCAAGUUCUACCAAAUACCGGGCCUAUUCUGAGAUGUUGGUGGAUUAUCUGCAAAAAUUACAAAGCUGUUAAAUCUAGACCUUGGAUUUAAUCAUUUGCAUUCUCUUUCAUCCUUGAAUAAGGUUUGCAAUCGGGUGGGCAUACUUGUAUUUAUCUUCCAAAGCAGAGCUGCUAAUUUCCUGGUCGUCGACCUUUUGCAGUACUGCUACCCUCCUGUGCCAUCAGGAAGAUGGUGUGUUUGAUAACAUUUGUCGUAUUGACAUCAUCGCUUCAAUGGUAUCUCAGCAGCUGAAAGAGAGUGCUAUAAAAUUGAUUAGUUUGUAGCAUCUAAUGAACGUUCCAUCAAGUAAACAGUAAUCAUCUGUACUUGAGAAUCUCUUUCUCUUUUUUUCUGUAGUACCUUUAGUUCAUUUACAUGAUAGUGUAAUUCAAGGAGGCGGCAAAUGUCAUUGCAUAGUCUAUAUUAACCAUGUCAAAAAGCGUUACUUUGCAAGUGUAGAUAAAUGUCAAAAGCCUUUAUCUCAAACAGUAGCUGGGGCUGAACAGUUGUAGUCUUUGUCGUCUUAUUUUGCUGUCUUUUUUUCUUUCUUUCUACUAUAGUGAGUCUUCUGGAUAUCAGCUCAAUGUGUCUGGAAACAUGACAAUAUCAAUUCAUGAUUUGUUUUCAGCGAGUAUUUAGUGCUCAUUCCGAUCCAACGAAACUGAGGCAAUGGAUUUGAAGCUGUUGUGUGUCUGGUUAACAUAUGUCCAUGUUUGUAGCAAUAACCACUUGUUGUAUUCAGUUUUUAAUGCUUUUAGUUCAAGUCUAUUUUGGUGGUUGUCGCAAGGUGUUUCUUUUUUUCCCAACUACUAUAUUUCUGCACUGGCUACCAAUAAUUGUGUUCCUAAAAAUAAAUCUAUUGUUGUCCCUUGUAAAUGUGGUUUAAUUUGAGUAAAUUGUAAUUGUUUGUGCUAGAUGUAUUUUGUAUGAUCAAAGAAACUUCAUUGAUGUUUCUUAUAAUGUGUACUAGACCAAUGCUGAAACAUAUCUAAUUUGAUAAUCUUAUGCUUCACAGGCCCAUUAUAUGCCACUGUCAGUCUGAAGUGAGAAGCGCCAUAAAUAGAUAGGAGUUCUCUGCUUAAAUAUUCUGGACGAUUAAUUAGGUUAGCAUAGAAGGAUCAAUCAAAGUUAUUUUUGGAAUCGUGUGCAUACAAGUCGUCUUUUUCAGUCUGGUACUUAUAGCUGCUCUUUAAUAUGGUACUCUCUCCGUUUCUAGAUAUAAGGUGUAUAGUUCUUUGACAAAAGUCUCCAAAAUAUAAGGUAUAUUGCGGUGAACAACCUGUGUGGAUUUUUUUUAGGGAUUUGCAUGUGGUUUCUUAUCUUUUGAAAACUCUUAUAUUUUAUGAUGUCAAUUGUCCAGGAUCAAUCCCGCCUAAACCUUGUGUAGUUGUCUCCCCACAUGCGUUUCUUAAUUUUUGUGCCAAAAACUAUGCCUUAUAUCUAGGAACGGAGGGAGUAUCAUUUAUAUCGGCAUAUAUAUCCAUAAGAAAGAAUCUUGAUUGAGAUAUAAGCAAACCGAACAUGUUCUACAAAUAAUAAGUCAAGCUGAUGACUAACUAGCUUGGUUUUUGUGGAUUUGUUCUCUGUUGCUUGGUUAGUGCCUGUUAGAUCAUUUAUCGACAGUUGAUUCUUGACUUAUUGAGGCAGUAGUAUUUCAGUCCAGGCAUGAGUUUAUAAAUCUGAUAUUAUACUUUAUAUCCUUUAUUUGUAAAUAUGGGUGGUACUGUUACUGUUACUAGCUAGGUGCAAAAUUGAAUAAUAAUUUGUAAAGUCAAAUAAGUAUAACAUGUUUGUAAAGUAAUGCACAUUAGAAAUGAACUCGGUUAGACUGGAAAUGCUUUUCAGAAUGUUAGUGCUUCAGUGAUUUGAUAAUUGACAGUCGAACAUUAUUGUGCUGGAAGAUAUAGAGUAUUUGUCUCAACUCUUACUAUGUCACUGCACCUCUGAAGUCAUUUUCUUGCAGGCUGAGCAUUUAGGUGCGAAUUAAAUAUGUUACAUGAUCGCUUUCUUGCAAGAUUUUGUUCCAUAUCAGUCAUGGUUAUAGAUAUAUUGUUUAUUUCCAUUCAUGUUUUAGGAAAGUUCAGUAUUCAAGGUAUGUAGUUUCACUGCUUUUCUUAUGCCUGCUUGUUUUAAAACCAUCGCAUGUGCAGCUAAAACUGUAAAUCAAUCUCUCUUUGUGUUCUGUUGGCUUAUCCUUAUCACUUCUAUUUUAUCGUAUUUCAAACCAUGGUGCUUUUAUCUUUAAGAGGAGUGUUCGAAAGAAUGUUUUGGUUUUCUUAAUCAUACUGAUCAUAGAAUAAUUUAAAACUAGCAUGUUGCUGUUGUUUCAAUAUAUAUUCAAUUCAAAUUUACUUCAUAUUGUAAACAAUGAAUUCUACUUCAGGGCAAAAUUGACUAAUUCCCUAUCUAUGUUUGUAAUAGUGUUUACAUCUUGAAUUUUUGUUUGCUACUGGCCUGUUGGCUGAUGUGCAGAUGCGAUGAAUUCACAUGGAGUGCGCCGUCAGCAACUGCCUUGCCUCCUCCGCCUCCUCUCCUAUCGCCGCUGGAGAUACCACGCAGCAGUGCAGAGCAUGUUGGUGCAGUUUUAUAUUUCUUCUCUUUUUCCUCUUGAGUUCUUUAUUAUUUUCAUCCCUUCCUAUUCAGAUUUUUUGUCAUUACACUUUGCAUAUGGGGUCAGCGAUUUUUUCCGGCGGAAACUUCCAGGGGCUACUUUUAGAGGAGGGCUGUGAUUACUUCUGAGCUCUGAAUUUUUGCAAUGCUGGCAAGAAGACACAAAUCAGGGUUUUUUCCGUGGCUAUCCUAUUGAGUAUUUGUUGGAAGUUUAAUCACUGCCACAAGUAAACUUACUUGCUUUCUUUUGACUUUCGGUUUCCUUGUUUUAUCAGCGUUGAUGACAUGUAGGAACUUUCAUAUGGCUUACAAUUUCGUGAAUUGUCAAUCAUUGUGCUUUCAGUAGCUAGCUUAUGCAUUUGGGAUUGAUGUUUUGGCACAUGGGAGCGUAUGCUCCCUUUAUUUCGAAAUGCAUGUUAGACAUAUUUUGAAAUGUUAAAAAAUU